AAGAAAAAGAAAAGCAUUUUAAUGGGAAUCAAUAGAGGAUCAUAGGGGCUUGAAAGGAAAUACGUGUUGAUUAAGAAUGUUGUGCGAGGUUGUUGUUUGCUUUAAAAAUGUACAUGACUUUUUUUUUUUUAAAUUAACCACAAGCAGACGAACGAUAAAUAUGCCAGGAGACAAACGAGGCAGGGCCGCGGAGAGCGCGCGAGGGGUGGCGGUGGGGGGACGACGACGACGACGGGAAUCCCGCUUGGUUGUGCCUCGUCGUGCUUUGGUUUCAGAUAGAGGCAGCCAGCAAACCAAGAGUUUGUGCAACGCUUCCAGGCACAGCGUGUACAUUUAAAGCCGCAUGCCCUGGAAGAGAUCAGAAAUACUUAUUGCAAAACGGAUUGCAAUGAAUGAAUGCAUCUCUUUACUCAAACACCGAUGAAGCAACAUGUGAACAGCUUUAAUUCCUCUCAGUCCGCAAUGUCGUCGGAGUCAUUAAAAGAAAUGACGAUGAGUUUGCACUCUAAUAUUCUUAUAUCUUUCCUCAAAGGCGUUUUGGAAUGACCAGGGCUCUGCUCUUGUCCUAAAGGGAGGUGAGAAAAGAAAGGAAAACUUAAGAAAAAACACCUUUCACCUCUACAGAAGCCUCAAGGAACUGUUUUCAUUUUGAAAGGCCAAAAUAGAUGUCCACAAUACUGCAUCUUAUCCCAAGUAAAAGAAAGAUGAUAAAAUGCCAAAUCCAUUUUUCACAACUGGAAGAAACCAAGGAAGGCAUAUGCAAUCUCUUGUUUUUUAAGUGGCAUGCUAAGUGAUCUGGUGAUCAUGCUAAGUGAUCUAAGAAAUGCCACUAGUAUAAUUAUAAAUAAAAAUUCAUUGUAUUAUUUUUAUGCCUGUAAAUGGAUGAAACAUUCUCCAAACAGAAGCACCUUGCUAUAUUUGUAAAUUCACAGAAUGGGAAUUUAAGCCAUUACAUUUUUAUACCAAUAGAAAACAAAAAGCUGCAGGAAUCUAACCUUUAUCACCAUUCUUUAGGUGUGGAUCUAAACAU
Long non-coding RNA from Hemicordylus capensis (graceful crag lizard), 1030 nucleotides. RefSeq lists it as uncharacterized. The transcript is spliced from 3 exons. NCBI's taxonomy places the organism in Eukaryota, Metazoa, Chordata, Lepidosauria, Squamata, Cordylidae. The record is from RefSeq and is a predicted model, not a curated record.